Non-coding RNA from Coffea arabica (coffee), 461 nucleotides. The record is from RefSeq and is a predicted model, not a curated record. NCBI's taxonomy places the organism in Eukaryota, Viridiplantae, Streptophyta, Magnoliopsida, Gentianales, Rubiaceae.
GUCUUGGCCGAGCAACAUAGAGAGGAGAAGCGAGAAAAGCUUCCAACUUUUGCCUUCGUUUCUUGCCCAAAUCUUGUGAACCAACUACUUAAAUCCUAAUUCCUCCAUAAAAGUGAAUUGUUAAGCUCGGUUAAGGUUUGUGGUGGAGCCAUUUGUGAAGAGAAAUUUCUAGCUACCUUGUCUCUUGUGGUUUGUAAGGUCGUGCCGGUGAUCCGGGGCCUGCAUCGGAAGGAAAUUUGUAAACUUGUUUACUUGAACCGGAGUGGAGCAGAUAACUACAAAAAGAGGGACUUUUGGAUGCAAAUUUGGGAGACUUUGGCAGAGAGAACUUGAAGGCUUGGGCCUUUGACUUCGGUGGGGACCACGGAGGAAAGAGAAAAGGGCUUUGGUCCUUUGGUUCUUGAAGGAAAAGCAACGUACAAAGCCUAAAGAAACUAAGAAGGAAUGGGGCAGCUUGUGGC